GAUGAACGCUGGCGGCGUGCAUAACACAUUCAAGUCGAACGGUGAAGUCCCUUCGGGGACGGAUCAGUGGCGGACGGGUGAGUAACGCGUGGGUAACCUGCCGUAUGCUGGGGGACAACAGUUGGAAACGACUGCUAAUACCGCAUAAGCGCACAGGACCGCAUGGUCUGGUGUGAAAAACUCCGGUGGUAUACGAUGGACCCGCGUCUGAUUAGCUAGUUGGUGAGGUAAUGGCCCACCAAGGCGACGAUCAGUAGCCGGCCUGAGAGGGUGAACGGCCACAUUGGGACUGAGACACGGCCCAAACUCCUACGGGAGGCAGCAGUGGGGAAUAUUGGACAAUGGGGGAAACCCUGAUCCAGCGACGCCGCGUGAGUGAAGAAGUAUUUCGGUAUGUAAAGCUCUAUCAGCAGGGAAGAAAAUGACGGUACCUGACUAAGAAGCUCCGGCUAAAUACGUG
RNAcentral lists this ribosomal RNA (460 nucleotides) under uncultured bacterium. RNAcentral's name for it is "bacterial SSU rRNA". It matches the Rfam family "Bacterial small subunit ribosomal RNA", at positions 28 to 507 of the family's 1533-position model. The record is from RNAcentral.